UUCCACUUUUACAAACAAUUAAAUACAUCCUAUUAUAUCUUCCCCUUUUCUGUUAGCACUACUCUCACCUUUAUAAAAAAAUUUUUCAUGGAGUAAAAAACAUUUAUUUCCUUUCAUUCUAAUCUAAUCAUCACAACUUGGCCACUAAAGAAGCCUCAUUAUGCUGCCUUUCUCUUCUUAGGUAUUACGCUGACAUCUUUGAAAAAGGCUCCUUGCUUUCCAGCAACAAUAAGGUGUUCUUUGUUCCAUUUGAAUUUCCUAUCAUUCAGACGUGGAAGCAGCGUUUCCCUAGGAAGCCUGGCGUUUCUCUGAGGCCGACUAGAGGACAGCAGGUCUCAGGCAGGUCUGAUACUUCAGCGGGUCUUCUGCUGGGAGUUCACAUGGUGCGGCUGCAAUGUGAAGAAAUCUCAGGCUUCACUUGCACUGGGUUGCUCAACAUUCUGAAGUCCUCUCUGCAUGGCUGUUGGUGAAAUUUCAUAAUAGAUACCAAGUGACAUUGUCUGGACUUCACUGUGUUUAGGUGUCUUUGACUGUUCCAACCCAAUUACAUAGCGAUCGCAUGAGCUCAAGCCUGAAAGCACAUCGGCGUGGACCAGCACAUUCCUUCCACCACCCAUAGCUGGGACACAAGUAAGGGAAUGCCAGGUGUUUGAGCCUAAGAAGUUUACCACCAUGAGCAACUUUCACCUGGAAAUUAAGUAUAAGACCUUUUUAGUUUUACAUUUUUGAAGAUUUGACACUUGGGAAAC
Molecule: long non-coding RNA, 749 nt
Filed under: Fukomys damarensis (Damara mole-rat)
Lineage: Eukaryota; Metazoa; Chordata; Mammalia; Rodentia; Bathyergidae
Description: lncRNA (ENSFDAG00000022101.1)
Source: RNAcentral